This 460-nucleotide ribosomal RNA is filed under the name uncultured bacterium. RNAcentral's name for it is "partial 16S ribosomal RNA". It matches the Rfam family "Bacterial small subunit ribosomal RNA", at positions 338 to 795 of the family's 1533-position model. The record is from RNAcentral.
CCUACGGGCGGCAGCAGUGAGGAAUAUUGGUCAAUGGACGAGAGUCUGAACCAGCCAAGUAGCGUGAAGGAUGACUGCCCUAUGGGUUGUAAACUUCUUUUAUAAAGGAAUAAAACGAGGCACGUGUGCCUUUUUGCAUGUACUUUAUGAAUAAGGAUCGGCUAACUCCGUGCCAGCAGCCGCGGUAAUACGGAGGAUCCGAGCGUUAUCCGGAUUUAUUGGGUUUAAAGGGAGCGUAGAUGGGUUGUUAAGUCAGUUGCGAAAGUUUGCGGCUCAACCGUAAAAUUGCAAUUGAUACUGGCAGUCUUGAGUACAGUUGAGGUAGGCGGAAUUCGUGGUGUAGCGGUGAAAUGCUUAGAUAUCACGAAGAACCCCGAUUGCGAAGGCAGCUUACUAAACUGUGACUGACAUUGAUGCUCGAAAGUGUGGGUAUCAAACAGGAUUAGAUACCCGAGUAGUC